Molecule: ribosomal RNA, 324 nt
Filed under: uncultured bacterium
Lineage: Bacteria
Description: bacterial SSU rRNA
Rfam family: Bacterial small subunit ribosomal RNA
Source: RNAcentral
GACGAACGCUGGCGGCGUGCUUAACACAUGCAAGUCGAACGAAGCUUGAUCACGGAUUCUUCGGAUGAAGUGUGAUAUGACUUAGUGGCGGACGGGUGAGUAACGCGUGAGUAACCUGCCUUUCAGAGUGGAAUAACGUUUGGAAACGAACGCUAAUACCGCAUAACAUUACGAGGCCGCAUGACCAUGUAAUCAAAGAUUUUAUCGCUGAAAGAUGGACUCGCGUCUGAUUAGCUAGUUGGUGAGGUAACGGCCCACCAAGGCGACGAUCAGUAGCCGGACUGAGAGGUUGAACGGCCACAUUGGGACUGAGGCACGGCCCAG